GAGUUUGAUCAUGGCUCAGAACGUACGCUGGCGGCACGCCUUAUACAUGCAAGUCGAACGAAGUAGCAAUACUUAGUGGCAGACGGGUGAGUAACAUGUAGGUAUCUUCCCUUUGGUGAGGAAUAACACGAGGAAACUUGUGCUAAUACCUCAUAAGUCUUUACGGAGAAAGCUUUAUGCGCCGAAGGAUGAGCCUGCACUUGAUUAGUUUGUUGGUGGGGUAAUGGCCUACCAAGACUUUGAUCUAUAGCUGAUCUGAGAGGAUGAUCAGCCACAUUGGGACUGAGACACGGCCCAAACUCCUACGGGAGGCAGCAGUAGGGAAUAUUGCACAAUGGAGGAAACUCUGAUGCAGCGAUGCCGCGUGAGUGAAGAAGGCCUUUGGGUUGUAAAGCUCUUUCGUCGGGGAAGAAAAUGACUGUACCCGAAUAAGAAGGUCCGGCUAACUUCGUGCCAGCAGCCGCGGUAAUACGAAGGGACCUAGCGUAGUUCGGAAUUACUGGGCUUAAAGAGUUCGUAGGUGGUUAAAAAAGUUGGUGGUGAAAUCCCAGAGCUUAACUCUGGAACUGCCAUCAAAACUUUUUAGCUAGAGUAUGAUAGAGGAAAGCAGAAUUUCUAGUGUAGAGGUGAAAUUCGUAGAUAUUAGAAAGAAUACCAAUUGCGAAGGCAGCUUUCUGGAUCAUUACUGACGCUGAGGAACGAAAGCAUGGGUAGCGAAGAGGAUUAGAUACCCUCGUAGUCCAUGCCGUAAACGAUGUGUGUUAGACGUUGGAAAUUUAUUUUCAGUGUCGCAGCGAAAGCAUUAAACACACCGCCUGGGGAGUACGACCGCAAGGUUAAAACUCAAAUGAAUUGACGGGGACCCGCACAAGUAGUGGAGCAUGUGGUUUAAUUCGAAGAUACGCGCAGAACCUUA
RNAcentral lists this ribosomal RNA (916 nucleotides) under marine metagenome. RNAcentral's name for it is "bacterial SSU rRNA". It matches the Rfam family "Bacterial small subunit ribosomal RNA", at positions 9 to 973 of the family's 1533-position model. The record is from RNAcentral.